This 22-nucleotide microRNA is filed under the name Homo sapiens (human). Its description in RNAcentral is "hsa-miR-584-3p". Its record names the gene hsa-miR-584-3p. The record is from miRBase by way of RNAcentral. Lineage: Eukaryota; Metazoa; Chordata; Mammalia; Primates; Hominidae.
UCAGUUCCAGGCCAACCAGGCU